RNAcentral lists this ribosomal RNA (332 nucleotides) under uncultured bacterium. RNAcentral describes it as "bacterial SSU rRNA". It matches the Rfam family "Bacterial small subunit ribosomal RNA", at positions 471 to 802 of the family's 1533-position model. The record is from RNAcentral.
GACGGUACCCAGAGAAGAAGCCCCGGCUAACUCCGUGCCAGCAGCCGCGGUAAUACGGAGGUGGCGAGCGUUAUUCGGAUUCAUUGGGUGUAAAGGGCAGGUAGGCGUCCCGGCAAGUCAUAGGUGAAAUCCUUUCGCUUAACGAAAGAACUGCCUGAAAAACUGUCGGGAUUGAGGCCAAAAGAGGAGAGCGGAAUUCCCGGUGUAAGGGUGAAAUCUGUAGAUAUCGGGAGGAACACCAGUAGCGAAGGCGGCUCUCUGGUGUGGUCCUGACGCUGAGCUGCGAAAGCUAGAGUAGCAAACAGGAUUAGAUACCCCAGUAGUCCAAGCCG